RNAcentral lists this ribosomal RNA (253 nucleotides) under uncultured bacterium. RNAcentral's name for it is "partial 16S ribosomal RNA". It matches the Rfam family "Bacterial small subunit ribosomal RNA", at positions 524 to 776 of the family's 1533-position model. The record is from RNAcentral.
UACGUAGGGGGCAAGCGUUGUCCGGAAUUACUGGGCGUAAAGCGCGCGUAGGCGGCUUUGUAAGUUAGAGGUGAAAGCCCGGGGCUCAACUCCGGAACUGCCUUUAAGACUGCAUCGCUAGAAUUGUGGAGAGGUGAGUGGAAUUCCGAGUGUAGAGGUGAAAUUCGUAGAUAUUCGGAAGAACACCAGUGGCGAAGGCGACUCACUGGACACAUAUUGACGCUGAGGUGCGAAAGCGUGGGGAGCAAACAGG